Molecule: ribosomal RNA, 467 nt
Filed under: uncultured bacterium
Lineage: Bacteria
Description: partial 16S ribosomal RNA
Rfam family: Bacterial small subunit ribosomal RNA
Source: RNAcentral
ACGAACGCUGGCGGCGUGCUUAACACAUGCAAGUCGAACGGAAAGGCCCUGCUUUUGUGGGGUGCUCGAGUGGCGAACGGGUGAGUAACACGUGAGUAACCUGCCCUUGACUUUGGGAUAACUUCAGGAAACUGGGGCUAAUACCGGAUAGGAGCUCCUGCUGCAUGGUGGGGGUUGGAAAGUUUCGGCGGUUGGGGAUGGACUCGCGGCUUAUCAGCUUGUUGGUGGGGUAGUGGCUUACCAAGGCUUUGACGGGUAGCCGGCCUGAGAGGGUGACCGGCCACAUGGCGACUGAGAGACGGCCCAGACUCCUACGGGAGGCAGCGGUGGGGAAUAUUGCGCAAUGGGCGGAAGCCUGAUGCAGCAACGCCGCGUGCGGGAUGACGGCCUUCGGGUUGUAAACCGCUUUCGCCUGUGACGAAGCGUGAGUGACGGUAAUGGGUAAAGAAGCACCGGCUAACUACGUG